GGAGGGAGAUCUGGCUGCACAUCUGUCACUCAUUGAUCACCAAAGUUGACUCAGCCUCUCCAGCUGACUAGACGGAUGUUCCCUUCCUCCUUCACAGCUCCAUGGGCCUCUCUCCAGAAGCUGCACGCUUGGCAGAAGAGGACUAGCUUCCCCGAAUAGAGGAGGACUAGGCCAAACAAGCUCUCAAGGUCCAUUUAUUGUGUCUUGUUAUGCCAUGUUUGGCUGGUAUCCCUGGGAGGCCUGCUCAU
RNAcentral lists this small RNA (248 nucleotides) under Mesocricetus auratus (golden hamster). Its description in RNAcentral is "7SK RNA (ENSMAUG00000002108.1)". The stretch from base 1 to 176 matches the Rfam family "7SK RNA". Rfam says of the family: 7SK was discovered as an abundant small nuclear RNA in the mid-70s but a possible function has only recently been suggested. Two independent studies have found that 7SK RNA binds the CDK9/cyclin T complex (known as elongation factor P-TEFb). P-TEFb activates transcription by phosphorylating the C-terminal domain of RNA polymerase II. The record is from RNAcentral. Lineage: Eukaryota; Metazoa; Chordata; Mammalia; Rodentia; Cricetidae.